UGUCAAACAGAAACUAGAGUCAUAGAGGAGAAAUAGCUACUGAUGGAGAUACUGCCCAGGGCAGACGGGAAAGGAGAAAUUACCCUAGCUUCUUCCACCUGCUCGCCAUUCUUUUGUCAGUGCCUCCCAGUGGACAAACCUAGUUGGAAUCCAGUUGGCAAGGCAGCCAGGAUAUGGAGUUGCCUAUAAUACAGAGAGGAGAAGAUGGAGGAAUAGAUCCGAGAGCAAGCAGGCAAAUGACCAGCAUAGGAUUUAAGCUUAAAAUGAUUUUAUUUCUCUGUCAUAAUUACUUUCAAUCAUAAUCUGUUGAAUCUCCCUUUCCUGAUCAAUAAAGGAUACCUUAACAGCAUCUUGGGCCGAGUCCCCUAAUUUACUGCAGAAAGAUCUGGCAGAUAGUAUCUUCACCGAGUGAAAAAAGUUAACAUCGUCUGUAAUACAACAGAUCAUCAUCAUGUGCAUAUUCUCACUUCUGUGGUAUUCCUGGAAAAAAAAAAUCAUUAUGUUAAUCUAAUCCUGAGGAAGAAUCAGACAAAUCUAAAUUUAGGGACAUUCUACAAAAUAACUGGCUUGGACGCUUCAAAAUUAUGAAGGGCUUGAAGGGCAAGGAAAGACCGAAGAACUGUCCCGAGUUGAAAUGAACUGAAAAGAAAUGAUGACUGAACACAGCAUAUGAUUCUGGUUUGGAUUCUCAACCUGUAAAGAACGUUCUCGUAAAAAUAGAGGAAAAACUAUGCAGGCUGGGGUUUGGGCCUAAGGAAGAAAGCACCGAGGGGACCACUCAGCCUGACUCACAUGUUCUAAGCCAUAGAGCCUG
RNAcentral lists this long non-coding RNA (814 nucleotides) under Equus caballus (horse). RNAcentral's name for it is "lncRNA (ENSECAG00000048659.1)". The record is from RNAcentral. Lineage: Eukaryota; Metazoa; Chordata; Mammalia; Perissodactyla; Equidae.